ANAAGUAAUGUGAAUUGCAGAAUUCAGUGAAUCAUCGAAUCUUUGAACGCACCUUGCGCUUCUUGGUAUUCCGAGGAGCAUGCCUGUUUGAGUGUCAUUAAUAUAUCAAUCUUCUCUUGUUUGAGUGGUUUGGAUGUGGGGGUUUGCUGGCCUCUGAAAAGGGAUUCAGCUCCUCUGAAAAGCAUUAGCAGAGUGACUCUGUUCAUUAGUGUGAUAACUAUCUAUGCUAUUGAAUGGGUGUGGUUCAGCUUCUAACUGUCCUUGGACAAAUUUAUCAUUUAUGUGACCUCAAAUCAGGUAGGACUACCCGCUGAACUUAAGCAUAUCAAUAAGCGGAGGAAAAGAAACUAACAAGGAUUCCCCUAGUAACUGCGAGUGAAGCGGGAAAAGCUCAAAUUUAAAAUCUGGCAGUUUCUUGUAGCUGUCCGAGUUGUAAUCUAGAGAAGUGUUAUCCGCGCUGGACCGUGUACAAGUCUCCUGGAAUGGAGCAUCAUAGAGGGUGAGAAUCCCGUCUUUGACAUGGACUACCAGGGCUUUGUGAUGCGCUCUCAAAGAGUCGAGUUGUUUGGGAAUGCAGCUCAAAAUGGGUGGUAAAUUCCAUCUAAAGCUAAAUAUUGGCGAGAGACCGAUAGCGAACAAGUACCGUGAGGGAAAGAUGAAAAGAACUUUGGAAAGAGAGUUAAACAGUACGUGAAAUUGCUGAAAGGGAAACGCUUGAAGUCAGUCGCGUUGUCCAGGGAUCAACCUUGCUUUUGCUUGGUGCACUUUCUGGUUCAAGUGGGUCAGCAUCAAUUUUGACCGUUGGAAAAAGGUCAGGGGAAUGUGGCAUCUUCGGAUGUGUUAUAGCCCUUGGUCACAUACAAUGGUUGGGAUUGAGGAACUCAGCACGCCGCAAGGCCGGGUUUUAAACCACGUACGUGCUUAGGAUGCUGGCAAUAUGGCUUUAAUCGACCNGUCUUGAAACACGGACCAAGGAGUCUAACAUGCCUGCGAGUGUUUGGGUGGAAAACCCAAGCGCGUAAUGAAAGUGAAAGGUUGAGAUCCCUGUCGUGGGGAGCAUCGACGCCCGGACCAGACCUUUUGUGACGGUUCCGCGGUAGAGCAUGUAUGUUGGGACCCGAAAGAUGGUGAACUAUGCCUGAAUAGGGUGAAUCCAGAGGAAACUCUGGUGGAGGCUCGUAGCGAUUCUGACGUGCAAAUCGAUCGUCAAAUUUGGGUAUAGGGGCGAAAGACUAAUCGAACCAUCUAGUAGCUG
This 1255-nucleotide ribosomal RNA is filed under the name Cortinarius subbalaustinus. Its description in RNAcentral is "eukaryotic LSU rRNA". The stretch from base 284 to 1255 matches the Rfam family "Eukaryotic large subunit ribosomal RNA", at positions 1 to 953 of the family's 3401-position model. Lineage: Eukaryota; Fungi; Basidiomycota; Agaricomycetes; Agaricales; Cortinariaceae. The record is from RNAcentral.